This is a long non-coding RNA of Dreissena polymorpha, 649 nucleotides long. RefSeq lists it as uncharacterized. The record is from RefSeq and is a predicted model, not a curated record. The transcript has 3 exons. Lineage: Eukaryota; Metazoa; Mollusca; Bivalvia; Myida; Dreissenidae.
GCUAUGGCUCUUCGCUGAUCUAUGUGUAAACCCUGUUAUUAGGUCAGAAAUGUGCGUUUUAUUUGUGUUUUCACUCUUUUAUCUGUGGAAUAAUCGCGGAGAGUGAUUCUAGUUCUUCUUGAAUGCUCUGAGCUUUUAUGAGUACAUACGUACAGCUCGGAGGGUCAAUAGCUGGGAGUUGGAUUAUUGCAACUAAGAGUGAUUCAUUAGUAGUUUGCAUAUUAACUUAAGUAAUGUGGAGAUUUAAAAUGUGUGCACUGUACUUGUCUGUUUAAGGUAAUUGCAUUUGGGAUUAAUUGGAGUAUUGAAAUGAUGAUCAAAUGUGAAAUGACACGUUCACGUUACAAUGACCGAUGUUUAUCCACAACAUUGUCAGGCCAGAUAACCAUGUCCAUGUUUGACUUGUGUCAGUGACCAUGUGAUUCAAGGCUUCCAUUGCUGUGGAGUGCAUUGAACGACAUCAUGGCCUAGAAGAACAUACCCGGGGAUAAUACCAGCAGCAACAAGUAUCACGCAACCGCCAAAAUGCACGCCGCCAUUUUGAAGCAUGUCUGAGUGAACCGAUGGUUUCCAUGGAUUCCAUGAAGAUUCAAUUGAUUUGUUGGUUUUUAAUUGUCCAAUUAUUUUUAAAAAUAAACAUUUUGGUGAA